UGAAACACGGACCAAGGAGUCUAACAUAUGCGCGAGCUAAUGGGUGGAAAACCGAUAGGCGCAAUAAAAGUAAAUGCUGUUUCGGACAGCUAAGGUACGAUCCUAAAGUCGCGAGGCUUCAGGCGCAGUACCGUCCCGUCCCGACCGCACGUCGGUAGGGCGGAGAUAGAGUGCAUACGUUGGGACCCGAAAGAUGGUGAACUAUGCCUGAGCAGAGCGAAGCCAGAGGAAACUCUGGUGGAGGUUCGUAGCGGUUCUGACGUGCAAAUCGAUCGUCAGACUUGGGUAUAGGGGCGAAAGACUAAUCGAACCAUCUAGUAGCUGGUUCCCCCUGAAGUUUCCCUCAGGAUAGCUGAUACUCGGGAAACGACGAAGUUUUAUCCGGUAAAGCGAAUGAUUAGAGGCAUUGGGGACGAAAUGACCUCAACCUAUUAUCAAACUUUAAAUGGGUAAGAAGUCGAGCUUGCUCGACCGAAGCCCGGCAAAAGAAUUCGAGUAUCAAGUGGGCCAUUUUUGGUAAGCA
This 523-nucleotide ribosomal RNA is filed under the name Syncheilaxonchium nairi. Its description in RNAcentral is "eukaryotic LSU rRNA". It matches the Rfam family "Eukaryotic large subunit ribosomal RNA", at positions 655 to 1146 of the family's 3401-position model. The record is from RNAcentral. Lineage: Eukaryota; Metazoa; Nematoda; Enoplea; Dorylaimida; Belondiridae.